AUUGAACGCUGGCGGCAGGCCUAACACAUGCAAGUCGAGCGAGCGGCGGACGGGUGAGUAAUGUAUGGGGACUCCCCGAUAGGGGGGGAUAACUCCUGGAACCGGUGGCUAUUCCCGCAUACUAUCGGCUAACCCAAAUGGGAUGAGCUAGUAGGUGGGGUAAUGGCUCACCUAGGCGACGAUCCCUAGCUGGUCUGAGAGGAUGAUCAGCCACACUGGGACUGAGACACGGCCCAGACUCCUACGGAGGCAGCAGUGGGGAAUAUUGCACAAUGGGCGCAAGCCUGAUGCAGCCAUGCCGCGUGUAUGAAGAAGGCCCUAGGGUUGUAAAGUACUUUCAGUCGGGAGGCGUUACCGACAGAAGAAGCACCGGCUAACUCCGUGCCAGCAGCCGCGGUAAUUC
RNAcentral lists this ribosomal RNA (403 nucleotides) under uncultured bacterium. RNAcentral describes it as "partial 16S ribosomal RNA". It matches the Rfam family "Bacterial small subunit ribosomal RNA", at positions 30 to 526 of the family's 1533-position model. The record is from RNAcentral.